GCGGGUGUCGCUUAACAGGAUAAAGUGCUAGCCUCCUAAGCUUGUGCUGUGGGUUCGAGUCCCGCCACUCGCACCA
Molecule: transfer RNA, 76 nt
Filed under: Campylobacterota bacterium
Lineage: Bacteria; Pseudomonadati; Campylobacterota
Description: Epsilonproteobacteria bacterium tRNA-Arg
Rfam family: tRNA
About the family: Transfer RNA (tRNA) molecules are approximately 80 nucleotides in length. Their secondary structure includes four short double-helical elements and three loops (D, anti-codon, and T loops).
Source: RNAcentral